UAAGACGAAGGUGGCAAGCGUUGUUCGGUAUCACUGGGCUUAAAGAGUGUGUAGGCGGAAAGGUAAGCGUCCUGUGAAAGCCCCCGGCUCAACCGGGGAAUGGCGAGACGAACUGUCUUUCUUGAGCCAAGUAGGGGUGCACGGAACUGUUGGUGGAGCGGUGGAAUGCGUAGAUAUCAACAGGAACGCCGGUGGAGAAAUCGGUGCACUGGGCUUGUUCUGACGCUGAGACACGAAAGCGUGGGGAGCGAACGGGAUUAGAUACCCCGGUAGUCCACGCCGUAAACGAUGUCUACUAGGUUGUGGAAGUUCUGACGCUGCCACGGCCGAAGCUAAAGUGCUAAGUAGACCGCCUGGGGAGUACGGCCGCAAGGCUA
This 377-nucleotide ribosomal RNA is filed under the name uncultured bacterium. Its description in RNAcentral is "bacterial SSU rRNA". It matches the Rfam family "Bacterial small subunit ribosomal RNA", at positions 521 to 896 of the family's 1533-position model. The record is from RNAcentral.